This 394-nucleotide ribosomal RNA is filed under the name uncultured Synergistaceae bacterium. RNAcentral's name for it is "bacterial SSU rRNA". It matches the Rfam family "Bacterial small subunit ribosomal RNA", at positions 984 to 1382 of the family's 1533-position model. The record is from RNAcentral. Lineage: Bacteria; Thermotogati; Synergistota; Synergistia; Synergistales; Synergistaceae.
GGAAGACGUAGAAGACAGGACGCUUUCCCUUCGGGAAGCGAGCGUACACAGGUGCUGCACGGCUGUCGUCAGCUCGUGUCGUGAGAUGUUGGGUUAAGUCCCGCACGAGCGCAACCCUGCAUUCAGUUGCCAUCGGGUAAUGCCGGGCACUCUGGAAGGACUGCCAUCGACAAGAUGGAGGAAGGUGGGGAUGACGUCAAGUCAUCAUGGCCCUUACGGCCUGGGCUACACACGUGCUACAAUGGUCGGUACAAAGGGUUGCCAAGCCGCGAGGUGGAGCUAAUCCCAUAAAACCGAUCGUAGUCCGGAUCGCAGUCUGCAACUCGACUGCGUGAAGUCGGAAUCGCUAGUAAUCGUGAAUCAGAAUGUCACGGUGAAUACGUUCCCGGGCCUU